Molecule: ribosomal RNA, 702 nt
Filed under: uncultured Lachnospiraceae bacterium
Lineage: Bacteria; Bacillati; Bacillota; Clostridia; Lachnospirales; Lachnospiraceae
Description: bacterial SSU rRNA
Rfam family: Bacterial small subunit ribosomal RNA
Source: RNAcentral
GAUGAACGCUGGCGGCGUGCCUAACACAUGCAAGUCGAACGGAGCUGCUUUGAUGAGAUCUUCGGAUGGAUUUAAAACAGCUUAGUGGCGGACGGGUGAGUAACGCGUGGGUAACCUGCCUCACACUGGGGGAUAACAGUUAGAAAUAGCUGCUAAUACCGCAUAAGCGCACGGCUCCGCAUGGAACAGUGUGAAAAACUCCGGUGGUGUGAGAUGGACCCGCGUCUGAUUAGCCAGUUGGCGGGGUAACGGCCCACCAAAGCGACGAUCAGUAGCCGGCCUGAGAGGGUGAACGGCCACAUUGGGACUGAGACACGGCCCAAACUCCUACGGGAGGCAGCAGUGGGGAAUAUUGCACAAUGGGGGAAACCCUGAUGCAGCGACGCCGCGUGAGUGAAGAAGUAUUUCGGUAUGUAAAGCUCUAUCAGCAGGGAAGAAAGUGACGGUACCUGAAUAAGAAGCCCCGGCUAACUACGUGCCAGCAGCCGCGGUAAUACGUAGGGGGCAAGCGUUAUCCGGAUUUACUGGGUGUAAAGGGAGCGUAGACGGCAAGGCAAGUCUGAAGUGAAAGCCCGGUGCUUAACGCCGGGACUGCUUUGGAAACUGUUUAGCUGGAGUGCCGGAGAGGUAAGCGGAAUUCCUAGUGUAGCGGUGAAAUGCGUAGAUAUUAGGAAGAACACCAGUGGCGAAGGCGGCUUACUG